Molecule: ribosomal RNA, 1249 nt
Filed under: uncultured Gammaproteobacteria bacterium
Lineage: Bacteria; Pseudomonadati; Pseudomonadota; Gammaproteobacteria
Description: bacterial SSU rRNA
Rfam family: Bacterial small subunit ribosomal RNA
Source: RNAcentral
GAGUUUGAUCCUGGCUCAGAUUGAACGCUGGCGGCAGGCUUAACACAUGCAAGUCGAACGGUAACAUGAGUGCUUGCACUUGAUGACGAGUGGCGGACGGGUGAGUAAUGUAUGGGGAUCUGCCGAAUGGAGGGGGACAACAGUUGGAAACGACUGCUAAUACCGCAUAAUGUUGAGAAACCAAAGCAUGGGACUUUCGGGCCAUGCGCCAUUUGAUGAACCCAUAUGGGAUUAGCUAGUUGGUAGGGUAAAGGCUUACCAAGGCGACGAUCUCUAGCUGGUCUGAGAGGAUGACCAGCCACACUGGAACUGAGACACGGUCCAGACUCCUACGGGAGGCAGCAGUGGGGAAUAUUGCACAAUGGGGGAAACCCUGAUGCAGCCAUGCCGCGUGUAUGAAGAAGGCCUUCGGGUUGUAAAGUACCUUCGGUAAUGAGGAAGGUGGUGUAUCUAAUAGGUGCAUCAAUUGACGUUAAUUACAGAAGAAGCACCGGCUAACUCCGUGCCAGCAGCCGCGGUAAUACGGAGGGUGCGAGCGUUAAUCGGAAUGACUGGGCGUAAAGGGCAUGUAGGCGGAUAAUUAAGUUAGGUGUGAAAGCCCUGGGCUCAACCUAGGAAUUGCACUUAAAACUGGUUAACUAGAGUAUUGUAGAGGAAGGUAGAAUUCCACGUGUAGCGGUGAAAUGCGUAGAGAUGUGGAGGAAUACCGGUGGCGAAGGCGGCCUUCUGGACAGAUACUGACGCUGAGAUGCGAAAGCGUGGGGAGCAAACAGGAUUAGAUACCCUGGUAGUCCACGCUGUAAACGAUGUCGAUUUGGAGUUUGUUGCCUUGAGUGAUGGGCUCCGAAGCUAACGCGAUAAAUCGACCGCCUGGGGAGUACGGCCGCAAGGUUAAAACUCAAAUGAAUUGACGGGGGCCCGCACAAGCGGUGGAGCAUGUGGUUUAAUUCGAUGCAACGCGAAGAACCUUACCUGGUCUUGACAUCCACAGAAUCUUGCAGAGAUGCGAGAGUGCCUUCGGGAACUGUGAGACAGGUGCUGCAUGGCUGUCGUCAGCUCGUGUUGUGAAAUGUUGGGUUAAGUCCCGCAACGAGCGCAACCCUUAUCCUUUGUUGCCAGCGAUUCGGUCGGGAACUCAAAGGAGACUGCCGUUGAUAAAGCGGAGGAAGGUGGGGACGACGUCAAGUCAUCAUGGCCCUUACGACCAGGGCUACACACGUGCUACAAUGGCGUAUACAAAGGGAGGCGA